This 460-nucleotide ribosomal RNA is filed under the name uncultured bacterium. RNAcentral's name for it is "partial 16S ribosomal RNA". It matches the Rfam family "Bacterial small subunit ribosomal RNA", at positions 338 to 795 of the family's 1533-position model. The record is from RNAcentral.
CCUACGGGAGGCAGCAGUGAGGUAUAUUGGUCAAUGGACGAGAGUCUGAACCAGCCAAGUAGCGUGAAGGAUGACUGCCCUAUGGGUUGUAAACUUCUUUUAUAAAGGAAUAAAACGAGGCACGUGUGCCUUUUUGCAUGUACUUUAUGAAUAAGGAUCGGCUAACUCCGUGCCAGCAGCCGCGGUAAUACGGAGGAUCCGAGCGUUAUCCGGAUUUAUUGGGUUUAAAGGGAGCGUAGAUGGGUUGUUAAGUCAGUUGUUAAAGUUUGCGGCUCAACCGUAAAAUUGCAAUUGAUACUGGCAGUCUUGAGUACAGUUGAGGUAGGCGGAAUUCGUGGUGUAGCGGUGAAAUGCUGCGAUAUCACGAAGAACCCCGAGUGCGAAGGCAGCUUACUAAACUGUGACUGACAUUGAUGCUCGAAAGUGUGGGUAUCAAACAGGAUUAGAUACCCGGGUAGUC